RNAcentral lists this ribosomal RNA (645 nucleotides) under uncultured Peptococcaceae bacterium. RNAcentral describes it as "bacterial SSU rRNA". It matches the Rfam family "Bacterial small subunit ribosomal RNA", at positions 8 to 525 of the family's 1533-position model. The record is from RNAcentral. Lineage: Bacteria; Bacillati; Bacillota; Clostridia; Eubacteriales; Peptococcaceae.
AGAGUUUGAUCCUGGCUCAGGACGAACGCUGGCGGCGUGCCUAACACAUGCAAGUCGAACGGUCCAGUACUUGACACCGAGUGUUUUUGAACUCGAGUGUCGGGGAAAGCGAGAGCGCGAAGAAUGAGCGCUCCAGGCAUUAAAUAAGUACCAACACAUUCAGGAGAGAACUUUCGGUGUUGAGUACUGGAUAGUGGCGGACGGGUGAGUAACGCGUGGGCAACCUCCCCCUUAAACCGGGACAACCCUUGGAAACGAGGGCUAAUACCGGAUACGCUUUUCUGAGGGCAUCCUCGGGAAAGGAAAGGCGGCCUCUGAAGAUGCUGCCGAUAAGGGAUGGACCCGCGUCUGAUUAGCUGGUUGGUGGGGUAAAGGCCUACCAAGGCGACGAUCAGUAGCCGGCCUGAGAGGGUGAACGGCCACACUGGGACUGAGACACGGCCCAGACUCCUACGGGAGGCAGCAGUGGGGAAUCUUCCGCAAUGGACGAAAGUCUGACGGAGCAACGCCGCGUGUAUGACGAAGGCCUUCGGGUUGUAAAGUACUGUCUUUAGGGACGAACGGUAUCUAUGUGAACAAUGUAGGUACAUGACGGUACCUAAGGAGGAAGCCCCGGCUAACUACGUGCCAGCAGCCGCGGUAAUA